This is a long non-coding RNA of Papaver somniferum (opium poppy), 3308 nucleotides long. RefSeq lists it as uncharacterized. The record is from RefSeq and is a predicted model, not a curated record. The transcript has 5 exons. NCBI's taxonomy places the organism in Eukaryota, Viridiplantae, Streptophyta, Magnoliopsida, Ranunculales, Papaveraceae.
CUUCUAGAGCCCUAAAACCCAAUCUUCCACUGUUUCAAUCGCUAAUUCUUAAAUCUGAGAAGAAUUUCUGUUUUUUUUUUAUAGAAAGAUUAAAAGGGUUUCAUGGUUUACUUCAAUUGUCUACCUACAGAGAUCACAAUUGACAUUUUAAGCAGGAAUUUGUUCUGGAAUGCAAAUCGGAGAAAUGUUAUUUCUCAUCCAUCAUUCUCCAAAAUUCACUUCGAUCAUCUCAAUAAUUCUUCUGCUGAUGAUGAAUCUGGUAAGUUGGGUUUUCUUGCUUCUACUUAUGAUAUUUAUUUAUCAUAAUAAAAAAAUUCAUUAUAUUGAGUGUGUUGAAAAUCAUGAAUCAAAUCCCCCCAAUAAGCAUUUUAGUUUUCUUGGUUCAUUUAAUGGGUUGAUCUGUCUUGCUGAAGGCCAAUCAGUGUGUAUUUGUAACCCCAUCACAAAAGAAUAGGUGAUGGUUCCAGAAAUUAAGAGAAAUUGGUGUGAUAUUGAACGGUUUACUUUCGCGAGCAGCAGCAGCUUCGGGUAUGUUUCUUCAACCAAUGAGUACAAAGUUGUAGUAAUAUAUUUGUCUACACUCUAGGAUCUGGUAAUGGAUGGAGAAACCUUGGAAAGUUUAAUUUUCAAUUCCGUAUCUAUAUUUGGGAUGUAGCUGGUGUCUUUGCUAAUGGAGCACUUCAUGGGCUGGAUGAUAUAUUUGUGAACCUCUUUCAGGACCUCCUUUGCCACCAGAGAGUAAUUGGUGGUAUAGCAGAAUAGGGGUUUUGGAUGGGCUUUUGUUUUAUUCUAUUAGGCUAGUUGUCCAAGGAGUCCAAGGUUUUGAGACAUGGUUAUUAAAAAGGAACAAUGAUGAGCAUCACAUGAAAGAGCGAGACCAACGUCAGUCAUGGGGUUGGAGUAAAGAGUUUACGAUUGGCGAUUGCAAACUAUUAGCGGUUACGAAGAGCGGCCGUGUUUUAACUUAUGCUGAUAGACAUGUCCACAUUUACGACACAAAAGCUUCAAAUUCGAAAAUGCUUGUGGAGUUCAAUGAAAUGUUCUGUAAAGUAUUUCCUCACAGAAACACUUUAGUUUCACUGAAAGAAUUAGGGGAAGAAUAUACACAUUCAAUGGAGUCAGUUGAAGGAGGCAGAAAUCCGUGAUUCCAGCAGCUAUAGAGGAUGCGGACCCUGAAUACAUUCUCAUAAACUGGUAUUCUACAUUGAGUUUUUAAAGUGAUGUUUGUAUAAUUCUAGGGUGAUGCUCUAAGUUAUUGGCAUUGUCUCACUGAAUUAUGUGUUAUAAGUUACUUUUUAUCCUUUAUAUCAUCGGUUUAACUUUAUAGUAGUGUUCUUUGUAUCGGGUUAAUCUGUGUUGCUUUCUGAAUUGUUCAUUUGUUUAAUAACUCAACCUUAUUUCAAUGGAAACAUGUGAUGGAUAUGUUAGUGAUUUAUUUUGUUUAUUUAUACAUGGGAUGGGAGUCAAAUAAGUAUUUGCAGGCAAAAUUAAGGAAAUGGCAGCUUUUCCAGUACUAGGGAAUACUUCUUACAUUAUCUGGUAGAUAAUUUUAGGGAUCCAUAUUUUUACUUUUCCGUAUUUUCAUCCUGCAUUUUGGUACUGAAAAUAUGUUAACGUCGCAGUUACUAAUUGAUUGGGAAACUGCACUGUCAGUUUGCCUUUGUUCGUCAAUAAAUUUCACAACAACAGUUGAGUUAAGUAGGCAGACUUCUCUGUAAGAAUUAUCAUAUGAUUAAUGUUUCAGUUUUGACCUCACCAACCUAAUUGGUUUGUCGUCAAAUGAUUCUACUUUUCUGUAUCCUUGGGAAGGAUCAAAUAUUAGCAAGGUAGAUUUUGUUUUGGGUCAAGGGGGAUAGAAACUAUAACAAAUUGGUGCAAGUCAAAGCACUUGCCCAUUCUAGUUAUGGAAAUCCAAUGCAGCAUGCUUCAUUCUCCUAGUUCCAACUUUGUCUUCCCCACAAAGUUCAUGACCUUUUGAGAAUACUGCAGAAGUUUGCUUCAUGUCUUAAAUUGCCGUGGCUACCAGAUCAGAGAAAUCUCACAGAUUCUGGACUGGUGGUAGAGGACUCUGGUGGAAAGUUGGACUUUGCCACUCUCAAGUGGAGUGUGGUAUCUUUCUUCAAUUAAGCUCCUCAACAGACAGUAUGGGCAAGGACAAUUGCUGUCAAGAUACUCCUCACCUGGCUAACCAUACAAAUGCAUCAAAUACCUUGGACCGAGAGGAAUCCUUAUGGAGUAGUCAUCUAGAUCUGGAAUGUUGCCUGCUGACAGAGUGGGGAAAGACCAAUGUUACUAGGAAGGGGUGGAUUUUCAAGCUUACCAGAUACAGUUGUAUUUUGUGACGUACAAAUCUCAAAAGAUGGGAUUUAUUUUUUGCUUGUUAGAUAUUAGGCUUGGUAACUCUACAAAUACAGCAAAUUUCUACCUAAAAAUUCUGUUCUGGCUAGAAAACUCACCGUGAACUUAUUAUUCAGGUUGGAAAGGGCUUAUCCAAGGAUGAAAGGGGCUCAAAAACUAGCCUUGCAGUGUUGGCUUGAAGCUGUAAGUUCAGGGACCUUGAUCAAUAUGAACUGUCAGAUUGACCCACGACAUUGGUAUGGUCACAACCUACAUUUCUACUAUGAUGUGUGGUUCGAAGGAGAGAGCAGUCAACCAUUCUACCACUGGUAGAUACUUCCUUUGAAGAUGUCUGUCCCAUAACAGAUCUACUUUUUAUGUUUCUGCUCAUAAAGAAGUAAACCAUGAACGAUGCUCCAGGAAUGAUUUGCAACUCAACUACAUCAAAUGUCUUGGACCCAGGUGUUCUAUCAGUUGCAAGUAUCCUUAUAAAAGUAAGGAUGCCGACACCAACCAAGAGGCAACAGCAGCUCCUGCAGCAAGUGCAUUACCAGAAUACAAAGAUACAGUUCUGAACAAUUAUCCCUUUGAUAACACUGUUCUAUUGUCGUCGAAGCUUACAUGUGGAAGUACCCGCAUACAGUUUUGGAAAAUGAUUAAUGUGCAUUAUGGAAUUCAGGAAUUGGACCUCAUAUUGGCUGUCAUAAAUUCCCCAGGGAGCUUCAAUUCCAAGCUCUGUGAGCCUCCGGAAAGAUACGGUCCUGUGCCUAGUCCUAAACUUGUAUACAUGCGACUCCGUAGUCCCAGAGUUUCCACAUGUAAGCUAAUGCGAAUUUUUGGCCUUGUGAUGAAAUGUUGAAUAAAAUUUGUCUACCUUGGAUUCAUAUUUUUUCUGGGUUGUAAAGCGGAUUUGCUGUAAAAUAUUGCCGUAACAACUAAUAAGGCACAUCCCACGUGUGGCUGUCACAGUA